AACGAACGCUGGCGGCAUGCCUAACACAUGCAGGUCGAACGAGACCUUCGGGUCUAGUGGCGCACGGGUGCGUAACGCGUGGGAACCUGCCCUUAGGUUCGGAAUAACUCCCCGAAAGGGGUGCUAAUACCGGAUAAUGUCUUCGGACCAAAGAUUUAUCGCCUUUGGAUGGGCCCGCGUUGGAUUAGCUAGUUGGUAGGGUAAAAGCCUACCAAGGCGACGAUCCAUAGCUGGUCUGAGAGGAUGAUCAGCCACACUGGGACUGAGACACGGCCCAGACUCCUACGGGAGGCAGCAGUGGGGAAUAUUGGACAAUGGGCGAAAGCCUGAUCCAGCAAUGCCGCGUGAGUGAUGAAGGCCUUAGGGUUGUAAAGCUCUUUUAACCGGGAUGAUAAUGACAGUACCGGGAGAAUAAGCUCCGGCUAACUCCGUG
RNAcentral lists this ribosomal RNA (433 nucleotides) under uncultured bacterium. RNAcentral describes it as "partial 16S ribosomal RNA". It matches the Rfam family "Bacterial small subunit ribosomal RNA", at positions 29 to 507 of the family's 1533-position model. The record is from RNAcentral.